This is a long non-coding RNA of Melospiza melodia melodia, 1106 nucleotides long. RefSeq lists it as uncharacterized. The record is from RefSeq and is a predicted model, not a curated record. Lineage: Eukaryota; Metazoa; Chordata; Aves; Passeriformes; Passerellidae. The transcript is spliced from 3 exons.
GCUCUGUGUCCCAAAGACACAUUGUGGAGCCUGACCAAUGUGUUUGGAUUCUUGCAGCCACCCCAGAAACUUCAGCCCCCAGCACUCCAGCUGCCAGUGCAGGUUCUGCAGCAUGGACAGCCACAGCUGGCUGUGGAAUACUCCUGGGAAAGAGGAAUUGCCACCGCUGGAUCUGGACAUGGUGCUUGAGAUGCUGGAGGAGAUAUUUUCUCCCUCUGCUCAGAUUUCCAUCCUGAUCUGCCUUGCCAGGAGGGCUAUCCUGCGUGGGAAGAAGGAUCAGAGGGAGAGCCUGUGACCAUCGGGCAGGUGGAAUCCUUAAGUGUACACAUAGAUUUAUAGAUUUCUACAAUUCUAUUUCUAUAUCCAUAUAGUACAGAUUUAUAGAGGUGUGUUUGUAUGUGCAUAUAUAUACAUCUAUACAAUUAAAUUGAUCUAUAUUGUUAUAGAUGGGACAGAAUUAGUUACAUUUCCAGAUUUUGAGAUUUACAUUUAUAUAUUUAUAGAGUUACAUUUAGACGCUUACAUGUAGAUGCUUACAUUUGGGCGCUUAGAUAUACAUUUAGAAAUGUGCAUAGGUUUUUAGUUCAAGGUAUGUGGAAGUUUAGAUGCAUAGAUUGACCCGUGUAGGCCUAGGCUGCAUUUUUAGCUCUUUUCCCCCUCAGCUGCCUUUUUCACCUCUUGCUUUUUACAGAAUCACAGAAUUUCUAGGUUGGAAGAGACCUUUAAGAUCAUCGAGUCCAACCCAUGUUCUAACACCUCAGCUAGAUCAUGGCACGAAGUGCCACAUCCAGUCGUUUUUUAAACACACUUUUCCUCCCCCGGUACCCCCUGUGUCCCCUGUCCCUGUGCUGCGUUCGAGCUGGCGGCCAGGCCGGGCGGAGCAGCACUUCCAGCCCCGGCUGUCCCUGGAGCGGUGGGAGCUGCCGCUGGCCCCAGGCACUGUCCCCUGAGGAGCUGCUGAAGGACGCUGCAAGGAAGACCUUGAGGACAGCCGGAGACUGACGGGAGGCAGCAGGGAGGAGCUGAAGGCCAGCAGCAAGAGCAGUGAACGGGGACCUGCUGCUGCCAGCCUGCAGAGAGACCGGCUGAGGCCACAGGCCCGGGGA